CUGCGUUUUGGAUUACUGUUGUUGGGCCGGUGGUGGCGGUGGUGUUGGCGGUGGCGGGCGCAGCGUGGUGGUGUCUACAAAAAAAGAAACCGAUGCCAACCCAGAACCAAGGACUGGAGUUAAGAUCCGACGAUGGUGAUCAGACAGCACCGGGAAAUGGAGUCACGACUGAAGACGGGGCUGCACAAUCAAUGCUAAGUGGAACCAAUAGACCUGUUACUGGGGACGGGACCGUCACCCUGACAAAUGAUGGGUCCCCUUUGGACGGAUGAAGGCGCCGUUGACUCACUUCUGGCUGUUGGACAGCCUAGUGCUCUGGUGCUCGAGGCAGGGGCGGAGCAGGGCAAGGCAUAAGGCGCGGGAGAGGGAUAAUAGGUUGGUAGUUACUCAAACUACCUUUGAAGAUAUACUAAUUCAUCAUGGUGUGAGUAAACAAUAAUAAUAUAUAUAUAUAUAUAUUGGUGAAAUUAAUCCCUAAAAUAAUCUUGAAAAGGAAUAAAUGAGUGACUCUUUGUUAAUCUAUUCUGUUGCAUUUGUUUAAGCAAAUAAAUUCAUGUUUGUCAAAUUUGCCGAAAA
Molecule: long non-coding RNA, 576 nt
Organism: Gadus morhua (Atlantic cod)
Lineage: Eukaryota; Metazoa; Chordata; Actinopteri; Gadiformes; Gadidae
Exons: 4
Source: RefSeq, a predicted model, not a curated record